This 370-nucleotide transfer-messenger RNA is filed under the name Vibrio parahaemolyticus. It matches the Rfam family "transfer-messenger RNA". Rfam says of the family: Bacterial tmRNA, also known as 10Sa RNA or SsrA, is named for its dual tRNA and mRNA-like properties. Its role is to liberate the mRNA from a stalled ribosome. To accomplish this part of the tmRNA is used as a reading frame that ends in a translation stop signal. Lineage: Bacteria; Pseudomonadati; Pseudomonadota; Gammaproteobacteria; Vibrionales; Vibrionaceae. The record is from RNAcentral.
GGGGAUGAUUCUGGAUUCGACAGGAUAUUAAAACCUUAGGUGCAUGCCGUGGGGCGGUUUGCCACGUAAAAAGCCGCAAAAAAAUAGUCGCAAGUAACGACGAAAACUACGCUCUAGCAGCUUAAUAACCUGCUGUGAGCCUGUCCUCCCUAGCUUUCGCUUGUAAGACGGGGAUUUAAGGACAGUCAAAUCCAAACAAGCUAGCACGGAUUUUCCAACCUGAGAGAUGAACUGCGAAUUUUAAUUCAGGUAUGUCUUUGUGUGGCGUGUCUAUCCGCAGCAUACUGACGAGAAUAAAGAUUAGACUAAGCAUGUAGUACCGAUGGUGUAGGUAUCUUGGACGGGGGUUCAAAUCCCCCCAUCUCCACCA